UACGGAAGGCAGCAGUGGGGAAUAUUGCACAAUGGGCGAAAGCCUGAUGCAGCUAUGCCGCGUGUAUGAAGAAGGCCUUAGGGUUGUAAAGUACUUUCAUCGGGGAGGAAAAACAAAACUAAUAAUUUUAUUUCUUGACGUUACCCGAAAAAGAAGCACCGGCUAACUCCGUGCCAGCAGCCGCGGUAAUACGGAGGGUGCUAGCGUUAAUCAGAAUUACUGGGCGUAAAGAGCACGUAGGUGGUUUUUUAAAGUCAGAUGUGAAAUCCCUGGGCUUAACCUAGGAACUGCAUUUUGAAACUGAAAUACUAGAGUAUCGUAGAGGGAGGUAGAAUUCUAGGUGUAGCGGUGAAAUGCGUAGAUAUCUGGAGGAUACCUGUGGCGAAAGCGGCCUCCUAAACGAAUACUGACACUGAGGUGCGAAAGCGUGGGGAGCAAACAGGGAUUAGAUACC
Molecule: ribosomal RNA, 454 nt
Filed under: uncultured bacterium
Lineage: Bacteria
Description: bacterial SSU rRNA
Rfam family: Bacterial small subunit ribosomal RNA
Source: RNAcentral